This 1314-nucleotide ribosomal RNA is filed under the name uncultured marine eukaryote. RNAcentral's name for it is "bacterial SSU rRNA". It matches the Rfam family "Eukaryotic small subunit ribosomal RNA", at positions 82 to 1674 of the family's 1831-position model. The record is from RNAcentral.
UGAAGCUGUGAACGGCUCAUUAAAUCAGUUGCAAUAUCUCGUGCCUCAUGUGUAUCCCGCAAAUAAGGGCAAUUCUCUUACUAGGCGUGAACAAUCAAACCAGUGGGCUUGCCCUUGUUGAGUUACGUUAUGAGAUUGACCGCUUGGCGGGCACGAUUAGCUUCUGACGCAUCAUCUAGUAGUAGGGGUAACGGCCCCACUAGGAUCUUACGCGUACGGAGAAUUAGGGUUCGACUCCGGAGAAUGAGCAUGAGAGACGGCUCAUAGUUCUAAGGAAGGCAGCAGGCGCGAAAAUUGUCCAAUGUACGAUAGUACGAGACAGGGAGGAUAAAUCUUAAGCCGAGUAAUCGGUAUGAAGCUGAGCAAGAGUAUUAUGCCUUGCUAAACGCAAUUAGUGGGAAAGCAUGGUGCCAGCACCCGCGGUAAUUCCAUCACUGAUAGCCUUCUCUUACGUUGCUGCAGUUAAAAGGCUCGUAGCCGUUGGUAGCAUUGCGUGUCACUUUGAGAAAAUCGGAGCGUUCAUAGCAGGCAAGCCGUUGCACAGUGCAGCAAAGCACGACAUCGUAUCCUUCGGGGUAUAUGUAGUAAAUGGCAGUGCGUGGUUGAUGGUAUCUGAUGGGGACAGGUGAAAUAGGAUGAUCCAUCAGGGACCUCCAGGAGCGAAGGCAGUCAACAAGCACUGGCCAGUUGGUCAAGAGCGAAAGUGUGAGGAUAGACGAUGAUUAGAAACCGUUUUAUUUCACGCCUUAAACGCUACCAUCUAGGCAGUGGGCGCAAGUGCUCACAGCCCCAAGGAAACCGAAAGGCUUCAGGCUCUGGGGGAAGUAUGGGUGCAAGUCUGAAACUUGAAGGUAUUGACGGAGAGAUACCACCAGACGUGGAGUCUGCGGCUCAAUUUGACUCAACACGCAAAUCUUACCAGACCCAGAUGCUUUACGGAGCAACAGACUAAGAGAUCUUUUGCGAUUAGGCAGUUGGUGGUGCAUGGCCGCUCCUAGUUCGUGGUGUUAACUGUCUGCUUUAUUGCGAUAACGAGCGAGAUGACCAGGCUAAGUCUUUUAGCCGAGCGCCGGCGAUAAGCCGGAUGAACGUGGUCGCGCUAGCAGGUCUGUGAUGCCCUUAGACACUCUGGGCCGCACGCGUACUACAAUGCUGGCGGCAAAAAGUUGCUGAGCCGAAAGGCCUGGCUAUUCUAUAACCGCAAGCGUGGUCGGGAUCGGAGCUUGGAAUUUUUCUCCGUGAACGAGGAAUGUCUUGUAGGCGUACGUCAGAAGCGUACGCUGACUAUGUCCCUGCUCCUUGUACACACCGCCC